This 444-nucleotide ribosomal RNA is filed under the name uncultured Oscillospiraceae bacterium. RNAcentral's name for it is "bacterial SSU rRNA". It matches the Rfam family "Bacterial small subunit ribosomal RNA", at positions 28 to 451 of the family's 1533-position model. Lineage: Bacteria; Bacillati; Bacillota; Clostridia; Eubacteriales; Oscillospiraceae. The record is from RNAcentral.
GACGAACGCUGGCGGCGCGCCUAACACAUGCAAGUCGAACGAAGAGUAUUGAAUGAAGCCUUCGGGUGGAAUUUGAUAUUUCUUAGUGGCGAACGGGUGAGUAACACGUGAGUAACCUGCCUUUCAGAGGGGGACAACAUUUGGAAACGAAUGCUAAUACCGCAUAAGACCACAGUACCACAUGGUAGAGUGGCCAAAGGAUUUUAUCCGCUGAAAGAUGGACUCGCGUCCGAUUAGCUAGAUGGUGAGGUAACGGCCCACCAUGGCGACGAUCGGUAGCCGGACUGAGAGGUUGAUCGGCCACAUUGGGACUGAGACACGGCCCAGACUCCUACGGGAGGCAGCAGUGGGGAAUAUUGCACAAUGGAGGGAACUCUGAUACAGCAACGCCGCGUGAAGGAAGACGGUUUUCGGAUUGUAAACUUCUAUCAGUAGGGAAGAAAG